GGAUGCGAUCAUAGCAGCACUAAAGCACCGGAUCCCAUCAGAACUCCGAAGUUAAGCGUGCUUGGGUGAGAGAAGUACUAGGAUGGGUGACCUCGUGUUGCAUUCC
This 106-nucleotide ribosomal RNA is filed under the name Triticum aestivum (bread wheat). The record is from RNAcentral. Lineage: Eukaryota; Viridiplantae; Streptophyta; Magnoliopsida; Poales; Poaceae.